Molecule: ribosomal RNA, 878 nt
Filed under: Dacrymyces stillatus
Lineage: Eukaryota; Fungi; Basidiomycota; Dacrymycetes; Dacrymycetales; Dacrymycetaceae
Description: LSU rRNA
Rfam family: Eukaryotic large subunit ribosomal RNA
Source: RNAcentral
GCAUAUCAAUAAGCGGAGGAAAAGAAACUAACAAGGAUUCCCCUAGUAACUGCGAGUGAAGCGGGAAAAGCUCAAAUUUAAAAGCCUUCGGGCGUUGUAAUCUAGAGAAGUGUUUUCGGUCGUUGCCUCGGAUAAGUCUCUUGGAACAGAGUGUCAAAGAGGGUGAGAAUCCCGUUCUUGCCGAGCUACCAACGUCUAUGCGAUACACUUUCAAAGAGUCGAGUUGUUUGGGAAUGCAGCUCAAAACGGGUGGUAAACUCCAUCUAAAGCUAAAUAUUGGCGAGAGACCGAUAGCGAACAAGUACCGUGAGGGAAAGAUGAAAAGCACUUUGGAAAGAGAGUUAAACAGUACGUGAAAUUGUUAAAAGGGAAACGCUUGGAGUCAGUCGCGUUGCAUGGACUCAGCCUCACGGUGUAUUUCUAUGCAACGGGUCAACAUCAGUUUUGGGCGGGGGAAAAGGGCUUGGGGAAUGUAGCAACCUCGGUUGUGUUAUAGCCCCUUGUCGUACACCUCGCCCGGGACUGAGGUCUGCUUAAAGGAUGUUGACGAAAUGGCUCUAAGCGACCCGUCUUGAAACACGGACCAAGGAGUCUAACAUGUCUGCGAGUGUUUGGGUGUCAAACCCAUGCGCGCAAUGAAAGUAAUACAGGUGGGAGGCCUCGGCCGCACCAUCGACCGAUCCGGAUCUCUUGGGAUGGAUUUGAGUAAGAGCAUAUAUGUUGGGACCCGAAAGAUGGUGAACUAUGCCUGAAUAGGGCGAAGCCAGAGGAAACUCUGGUGGAGGCUCGUAGCGAUUCUGACGUGCAAAUCGAUCGUCGAAUUUGGGGUAUAGGGGGCGAAAGACUAAUCGAACCAUCUAGUAGCUGGUUCCUGCCGA